This 457-nucleotide long non-coding RNA is filed under the name Bos mutus (wild yak). RNAcentral describes it as "lncRNA (ENSBMUG00000025843.1)". Lineage: Eukaryota; Metazoa; Chordata; Mammalia; Artiodactyla; Bovidae. The record is from RNAcentral.
CUCGCAAGCGCUUCGCAGACUGGCCCUCUUGCCUCCCCCGGCCCGUGUCAGGCCGGGCGACUGGAGCGGCUAAUAGGAAACCCCGACCCGAGGCGCGGAGGCCAGGAGGGAGGGCAGAGGGGGUCAGAGGCCGGCCCUUCCCGGCCCCCGGCGCCCCCGGAGGUCAGGGAGAUAAGGAACAAUGACUCUCGCCCCCGGGAGGAGGAAGGAAGCCCCGCUGCCGCCGCCUUAUCUCCGCUCCUGUGCGUUCUCCCAGUUCCCAGAGCUGGUUCUCUAGAGAGGACUUGGAAGGCGGCUUUUGUGCUGACGGCCAGCCCCAUCAUCUGAAGAAGGUGAAUUUGGCGAAUGACAUGCAGGUUCUCCAAGACAGAGUAAUCACAGAAAAUCGUCAAAGGUACUCAAUAUCAGAUAUUGAUCUCUGUCUCUUUUUUUUUUUUUUUUUUAAUUAAUUGAGGUG